AGUUUGGUGAGAGUUUUGAUUUUCCCAUCGAGUGGAGCUUGCCUCCCAUUGAGCUUUGUAAUUAUAAGCCUCCAUUAAAGGGUUACGAUGGGGCUAAGGAGCAAUUUAAGAUGAUGAAUAGGAAGUAUCUCCUCAUAGUUCCCCGGGAUAUCACCCUUCAUAAAAUCUUCGAGUACUGCCUGUUUAAUAAGGGCGCAAAUGGUUAUUUCGAGAGUAGUUUCCACAUUGGUUUCAUUAAUGGCGGGAAAUUUAAGCUAUGGGAUCAGUCGUGGCCUUUUGAUUUAGAGGAUAUAUAUAGUGGCCUUAAUCCUCCACAGGCUAAUGGAGGAACCUUUGCAAGACAUUGUAAAUUACAAGAAAUGUUUGGAUAAAAAAUGAAGGGUUCCAGAUGGCAUGCAUCGUUCCUUACCCCUUAUCCCCUCGAAGGUUGAGAAACCUCCUGUUGUUGUGAGGACCAACACAACCAUUGUUGUUGGUGCAGGAGGAGGAGGCCCCUUUAGAUGUCCCUCUGGUAAACAUGGUCAUUAGCUUCGAGAGUUCGUUAAACAACGGAUGGAGUGGCACAACAGGGUUGGAGGGUCGUCAUGAUGGGGCCUCCCAUUUUCCGUCAUACCUUUCCUUUAACCUUGUCAAUUUUUUUCUAAUUGCUGAUAUUGUGGCUUAUUUUUAUUGAUUUUGAUAAUGUUUUUCCUAUGUGCAGUUACUUCAACUCCAAUUACCUAAAUUCCUGCAACUAGACAGAUAGAUUCCAAAUCUUGGAUGUUGCCCUUGCUAGUGCGAUAGUCGCUCCUGCCAGGAAAAGACUAAGGAAGCAGUCUGAGAAGCCAUCCAAGAGGUAAAAGAAAUUUAUCAUAGUUAAGGGACAGGGCUAACCAAAGCCUUGAGGGUUGACCAUCUGGGAGCCUGCUGCUCCCUCAACAAGUGUUGUCUAAACUUCCACUAAUCAGCUCUAAGGGGGUCCUCUCGGGACCACGUCAUAGGCCCCCCUCUAGGGGUGAUUUUUUCCAAUGUUGGCUCAACUUAGGUCCUUCAAAUACAAGUACACCACCCACCCUUUUGGACCUUGUUACUAAAACUGAGUUCUCUGUCCUUGCUACACAGGACUCCAUCCUUGCGACUAGUCGGCAUAUGCAAACAAAUAUAGACUAUAUACUUAAUUAUUUUAAAGUCUUAAAGCAAGAAGCACUGAAGUUUAAUGAUACAUUGAAGAAGGUUAAAGAUGAGUUGACGGAGUGUUAGUGGGUGGUGGAUGAGCUUCCGAAGGCCAAACUCGAGGCGUAUACUUUAGCAGGCAGAGCUAAAGAUAAGGCCAAUCGCUUGCAAACUCAGGUGGGCUUCUUCGAAACUUCUAAUGACACCCUGAAGAAGGAAAAGGAGACAUUGAUUCUCUGUUGCGACCAACUGGUGGCUGAGCGUGAUAGAGUUCGUGCCUAGGUUGUUGAGUUAGUGGAAGCCCUCCAAAGGAAAGAGGAUAUCAAGGAGCCCUUGGAUGACCUAAAGAAGGAUAAGGCCCAGACAGAAGAAUAAGGGUAAUUCAAAUCCUUUUAAAAGGUUGGGUGAGUUAAAUUGAUAAAAAGUAUAAAUGCUGAAGGCUAAAUUUAAAAUUAUGAUGUUUUUGAAUUAAAUAAUUGUAAGAUUUGAAAACUAUUAGUAAAAUAUUUUAAAUUUUAUUUUAAAUAACA
This is a long non-coding RNA of Gossypium raimondii (Peruvian cotton), 1682 nucleotides long. RefSeq lists it as uncharacterized. The record is from RefSeq and is a predicted model, not a curated record. Lineage: Eukaryota; Viridiplantae; Streptophyta; Magnoliopsida; Malvales; Malvaceae. The transcript is spliced from 2 exons.